GGGUGUUAAAAGGGCAUGACUGGGGUGUUAGAUAGGACAUUAUAAAAAAUGUGUGAUAGAUACAAUAGAACAAUUAUUACAAAGAUAUGAUGUCUGUAUGUAUUAUAUAGUUGAUUGUGUAUGACUGGGAUGUCCCAAAUGCCUGACUAGGGUGCUAUGAGGGCAUGACUGGGGUGUUAGAUGAAGACAUUAUAAAUGAAGGUGUGAUAGAUACAAUAGAACAAUUAUUACAAAGAUAUGAUGUCUGUAUGUAUUAUAUAGUUGAUUGUGUAUGACUGGGAUGUCCCAAAUGCCUGACUAGGGUGUUACAAGGGCAUGACUGGGGUGUUAGAUGAAGACAUUAUAAAUGAAUGUGUGAUAGAUACAAUAGAACAAUUAUUACAAAGAUAUGAUGUCUGUAUGUAUUAUAUAGUUGAUUGUGUAUGACUGGGAUGUCCCAAAUGCCUGAUUAGGGUGUUACAAGGGCAUGACUGGGGUGUUAGAUGAAGACAUUAUAAAUGAAGGUGUGAUAGAUACAAUAGAACAAUUAUUACAAAGAUAUGAUGUCUGAAUGUAUUAUAUAGUUGAUUGUGUACGACUAGGAUGUCACAAAUUCCUGACUAGGGUGUUACAAGGGCAUGACUGGGGUGUUAUAUGAAGACAUUAUAAAAGAAUGUGGGAUAGAUACAAUAGAACAAUUAUUACAAAGAUAUGAUGUCUGUAUGUAUUAUAUAGUUGAUUGUGUAUGACUGGGAUGUCCCAAAUGCCUGACUAGGGUGCUAUGAGGGCAUGACUGGGGUGUUAGAUGAAGACAUUAUAAAUGAAGGUGUGAUCGAUACAAUAGAACAAUGAUUACAAAGAUAUGAUGUCUGUAUGUAUUAUAUAGUUGAUUGUAUACGACUAAGAGUCACAAAUGCCUGACUAGGGUGUUAAAAGGGCAUGAGUGGGGUGUUAGAUAGGACAUUAUAAAAAAAUGUGUGAUAGAUACAAUAGAACAAUUAUUACAAGGAUAGGAUGUCUGUAUGUAUUAUAUAGUUGAUUGUGUAUGACUGAGAUGUCCCAAAUGCCUGAUUAGGGUGUUACAAGGGCAUGACUGGGGUGUUAGAUGAAGACAUUAUAAAUGAAGGUGUGAUAGAUACAAUAGAACAAUUAUUACAAA
This 1138-nucleotide long non-coding RNA is filed under the name Mytilus galloprovincialis (Mediterranean mussel). The record is from RNAcentral. Lineage: Eukaryota; Metazoa; Mollusca; Bivalvia; Mytilida; Mytilidae.